RNAcentral lists this long non-coding RNA (314 nucleotides) under Gossypium barbadense (sea-island cotton). RNAcentral's name for it is "long non-coding RNA (GBAR_LNC007957)". Lineage: Eukaryota; Viridiplantae; Streptophyta; Magnoliopsida; Malvales; Malvaceae. The record is from RNAcentral.
ACGGACUCAAGACAAUUACACGGAUCAUCCUACCAUCACACCAAUAUAAAUUGCAUCCAUUACAUCAUUGGUAAAUUCAAAGUAAUAUGCACUUUGCGCCUCAUCGGCAUAAGCCAAAGUAAUGUGUGCCCAGUACCUCAUCAGAAUGUCUAAAGUAAUAUGCGCUCAAUGCCUCAUCAGUACAAAUCGAAGUAAUCCCCAUAUAACUAAUCCUUAUGACAUUUCAACUAUACUGGACUCUAUCUGAGACCAUGUAAUAUAAUAUUCAUCAUAUCAAUAUAUAACUAAUCCUUAUGACAUGUCAACUAUACCCA